AACGAACGCUGGCGGCAUGCCUAACACAUGCAGGUCGAACGAGACCUUCCUGUCUAGUUGCGCACGUGUACGUAACACGUGGGAACCUUCCCUUAGGUUCCGAAUAAUUCCCCUAAGGAUAUUCUAAUACCACAUAAUGUCUUCGGGCCAAAGAUUUAUCGCCUUUGGAUGGGCCCUCGUUGGAUUAGCUAGUUGGUAGGGUAAAAGCAUACUAAGCAUAUGAUCCAUAGUUGGUAUGAGAGGAUGACCUGCUAGGCUGGGACUACGACCCGGCCCACACUCCUACGGGAGGGAGCAGUGGGGAAUACUGGACACUGGGCGAAAGGCUAAUAAAGCCAUGCCGCGUAAGAGAUGAAGGCCGUAGGGUUGUAAAGUUGUUUUAAACGGAACGAUAAUGACAGUACCGGGAGAAUAAGCGCCGGCUAACUACGUG
RNAcentral lists this ribosomal RNA (433 nucleotides) under uncultured bacterium. RNAcentral's name for it is "partial 16S ribosomal RNA". It matches the Rfam family "Bacterial small subunit ribosomal RNA", at positions 29 to 507 of the family's 1533-position model. The record is from RNAcentral.